UUGGUUAAAAAAUACACAUUAAGAAUUCAGA
RNAcentral lists this non-coding RNA (31 nucleotides) under Rattus norvegicus (Norway rat). The record is from RNAcentral. Lineage: Eukaryota; Metazoa; Chordata; Mammalia; Rodentia; Muridae.